Molecule: long non-coding RNA, 4021 nt
Organism: Rhincodon typus (whale shark)
Lineage: Eukaryota; Metazoa; Chordata; Chondrichthyes; Orectolobiformes; Rhincodontidae
Exons: 3
Source: RefSeq, a predicted model, not a curated record
CUGGAUCGGGCUGCUUUAUGUCAUUUAUGUAAAUGAUUUGGAUGUGAAUAUAGACUGUGGUUAAUAAGUUUGCAGAUGACACCAAAGUUUGUGGUGUAAUGGAUUGUGAAGAAGGUUAUCUGAGAGUACAGCCUUGAUCAGAUGGGCCAAAGAGUGGCUGAUGAAGAUUAAUUUAAAUAAGUGUGAGGUGUUGGAUUUUGGUCAGGCAAAUCAGGGCAGGACUUAUGCACUUAAAUAGCAGGGCCCUGGGGUGUGCUGCUGAGCAAAGCGAGCUUGGGGUGCAGGUUCAUAGUUCCUUGAAAGUAGCGUUGCAGGUAGACAGGAUAGUGAAGAAGGUAUUUGGCAGCUUCCCUUCUUUGGCCAGUGCAUUAAGUCUAAGAGUUGGGAUGUCGUGUUGCAGUUGUACAGGACUUUGGUGAGGCCACUUUUGGAACACUGCAUUGAAGUCUGGUCUCCCUGCCAUAGGAAAGAUGUUGAUAAACUUGGAAGGGUUUAGAAAAGAUUUACAAGAACAUUGCUGUGGUUUGGAGGAGUUGAGCUAUGGGAAGAGGCUGAAUAAGUUAGGGCUAUUUUCCCUGGAGCAUCAAAGGCUGAGGAGAUUUUUAAAAGCAUGAAGGGCAUGGAUAGGGUGAAUAGCCAAGGUCUUUGUCCCAUGGUAUGCUAGUCCAAACCUAGAGGGCAUAGGUUUAAGGUGAGAGGGGAAAGAUUUAAAAGGAACCUCAGGGGCAACUUCUUCAUGCAGAGGGUGGUGCAUGAACGGAAUGAGUGGCCAGAGGAAGUGGCGGAGGCUGAUACUAUUACAUAAUUUGAAAGGCAUCUGAAUGGACAUGAAUAGGAAGGGUUUAAGAGGGAGUUUGGCCAAAUGCUGGCAGUUGGGUCUAGAUUAACUCAGGAGAUCUGGUCAGUAUGGAUACGUUGGACAAAAGGGUCUGUUGCUUUCCGGUGUGACUGUAUGACGCAUCAGCUGAUUGCCCCAUAAGUUUCCUCAGUACUUUUCCUCGAGAGAUUGUUAUUUUGCUUUACUUACUUUUGAUUCAUAUAUUCCAACACAUCUGAAUUAAAAUUUGUUGAAGAUAAAAUUUAAACAAAUGAGAAGUAUUACAUACAAAACACAAGUUGAGCAACAGGUUGCAAUACAGACAGUUGACACCUAUGAAUAAAGACUGAAUUGAUGAAACAGAUGAGGAUAUUUUUCUUCAGAAAAGACUUAGGGGUAUGAAGAUCUUUAUGAAUGGGAUGUUUUCACUUCUACAAGAAUUCAAAACUAGUAACCUCAAAUACAAUCUAGUCACACAAACAAUAAAUUGGUAAUCAAAGGGAAAUUUCUUUUUACAGACUGCUUAGAACAAGUAUAUGAAAGAGAUAGAAUUAAAAUGAUACACUGAAAGGCUCAAAUAAGAUAAAAGGAAUGGAAGGGGACUUGCAUGUUGUACAUGUACUGGCACUGUCAGUUGGGCUGAAUGGUCUCUUUCUGUGUAUGUUCUAUGGAAUUGGAUUGCCUGUGGCAAUGAUCGAUCAUAGAAUUUGAUUCAAUUUUAACAAAAAAGUGCUUGAUCAUAUCAUUAGCUUCUGGAAAAAGAAAGACAGACUUUUUUUAAAGAAAAAACUAAAAUACAAACUCCAAAUCUAGGAAUUAAAAUGAAGCAAAGAUGUCCAAUUAAUGAAGUUCCCAAAAAGACACAAACUUCAUGAUUAUUUGGUAUGAUAGUGAACGAUAGAUUUUGUUUUUGAAGUCUUUUGAGAUUAUGACCAAAAAUUUUCCCAUUUUUCUCUUUCAGUUUUUCUCAUAUUUACACAGGAGAACAAUAGUGCUGGUUAAUCACAUAUCAAUUCUUUGUUGAAUUUGAAAGCCAAUCUCUGCAGAGAAAUUUGAUUUGUCCCUCUUUUCCAAAAGAGAGUUUCUGAUCAUCGUCCUUCUCUAAUAAGGACAGAAGAAAUAGGAAUGGACCUCCCAAUCCCUUGAACAUGGUUUGCUAUUCACUUAAGAUCAUCUCUGAUCCUCUGUUGACUUGCUUUCCUGGAUCCCACAUGUCUUGACUUAUUUAAAUGUUCAAAAAUAUAUCAACUUCCAUCAUGAAUUUACUCAAUGAUGGAGCACCAUCUCAAAGAUUUAUCAAUCUCAAGAGUCAAUUAAUUUCUUAUUAGGCCAAAAUGACUGAUCCCUAAUCCAACGACCAGAAGCUGACCAGAAACCUAGCUGGAUUUGCCAUACAAAUACAAGUCAGAGGCUAAGAAUACUACAGCACUUAACUCACCUCUGACUCUCCAAAGCAUGUCCAUAUCUAUAAGGCACAAGUCAGGAGUGUGUUGGAAUACUCCCCAUCUGCUUGGAUGGGUGCAGCUCCAACAACACUCAAGAAGCUUGACACCAUCUAAGACAGCAACCAUUUGAUUGGCACCACAUCCACAAGCAUCCAUUCCCUCCACCACUGAUGCUCAGUAGAAGCAAUCUGUACUGAUUAAAAUUUGCAACACAGAAACUUGCCAAAUAUCCUUAUGCAGUAUCUUCCAAGCCCAUAACCACUUCCAUCAAGAAGGACAAGGACAGCAGAUACAUGGGAACACCAUCAUUUGGAAGUUUCCCUCCAAGCCACUCAACAUCCUGCCGCUCCUUCACUGUUGCUGGGUUAAAAUCCUGGAAUUCCCUCCCCAAGGGCAUUGUGGGUCUACCUACAGCGCAUGGACUGCAGUCGUUCAAGAAGGCAGCUCAUUACCCACUUCUCAAAAGGUAACUAGGGAGAGACAAGGAAAGUGAUGCCCACAUCCCAGAAGUGAAUAAAAAAAGACCUUCCAGAAUUUUAUACAUUGCAAUCAGAUCACCUCAAUAUAAACUUCCAGAGAAUUUAGGCCCAUUAUAAAUCAACCUUUUCACAGCACAACCCCUUUGUAUCAGAAAUUAUGACAGACUGCAAGCAAAGAAGAUGUGGUUCUAAGGACUGAUGUGUGUAGUGAUUGUAACAAGGUCAGCUCAUAGAAUACGAGUUCCCUGAUUGGACCAGAUUAACAGCCCCAAAUAGGGAUCCCUAGCUGAAAGAUGUAAACAGGAGUGUCACAGGCUCUGUUCACAUCGUCGGUUGGCUCUGUGGGAGCUGGAUCAUUAUCAAGGACUCUCCACGUGUAAAUGAAGGGCGACUUGGAGACGGGAUACUGACCUCUGUGAAGUUAGUCCAAUGUGUUUUGCUUAAAUAUAUAUUGAAAUUAUUGUCUGUUGCACUGUAAUCUUCAAUAUAGACUAGUAACCAGAAAGACAGUCUGCACCAUCUAUUCAUCAGAAUGUUUAUGGAAAUGUGAGUAAUGAAAUUAAUCAUCAGCACAAACAUAAUAAAUUACAAACUCCAAAUGAUUGCCAACCAGGUCCAAUAAUUCAGUUUUUAGUGUUUGUUGCUUCAAACUACCUCUUGAUACACCUUUUUCAAAAAAAAAAAAUCUGUCACAUCAAUCACCAGUCAAAGUUCAUUUUCAGAAGUCACACGUACCUAUCAUGUUAUUCCAGUUACUUGGUUUGUCUCCAGCAUUGCCUUAUUUUUAAUUUUUUGCAAUUAUUUCUCUGCCUCGUUUAAUCAGAGUAUAGAUCAUCCCUUUGCUGGUUAUUCAGCUGUUGACACUUUACUCACUGUCCAAUGUUCUUGGUCACCUGCAGAGACUUAUUAUCUGACACUCCAUUCACACCAGUUGUAUGAUCUUUUGAUGUCUCUGCCUAUAAAUUCUGUGUUGGUGUGCUCUUUCCUCUCACUGCAUCUGACGAAGGGACUGUGCUCCGAAAGCUUGUGAUUUCAAAUAAACCAGUUGGACUAUAAGCGGGUGUCGUGUGACUUCUGACUUUGUCCACCCCAGUCUAACAUCGGCACCUCCACAUCAAAGUUUAUUUUGGCAAGGGCAAAUGUUUUAAGGUUUUAGAAAAAACAUGUAUUAGUGUAUUGCAUUUAAUGAUGGAUUAAUGUUUGAGUGUAACCCUAGUGUAUUGCCAAUCUGUGUCACUCCUAAAACUAAUUUAAUGUAAUUAAAUCAGCAUACAUACAAA